RNAcentral lists this long non-coding RNA (480 nucleotides) under Carica papaya (papaya). Its description in RNAcentral is "long non-coding RNA (CPAP_LNC009879)". The record is from RNAcentral. Lineage: Eukaryota; Viridiplantae; Streptophyta; Magnoliopsida; Brassicales; Caricaceae.
UUGGUAAAUUUAUAACCAUUAGAAAGCAUAUUGAAUGAAAGAAAAUUCAUGAAUGUUUUGAUGUCUCUAUGCUCCUAAAACAUGAUAUAAAAAUUUGUUUGAACUUAAACAUGGAUUUUUCAAUUUACAAAAAUUUUUAUCCUUCGCUAACAUCUGUUUUUCUCGAAGACUAACUUUAUCUAUCAUUUACAAGAUCAACACGCAUCAUCAUCUUCACCGUCAUAUAUUUUUCUAGUUAAUUCCCUCCAAAAUCUCAAAUGGACAUAUUAAGAUCAAUGCGAGGCUUCUUGGUUGCAGGCAACGGAACAAUGGAAUUGCAUCUCGGGCACUUGGGAUUGUUUUUCGUUAUCAACACAUAAGAUAAGCACCCGGGACACCCUACUGCCACGGGUAAUGCCAGUAACUUCUCAUCCUUCUCCUGAUCCUCCUGAGCUUCCCUAAUUGAGGACGACGAAGAAGAAUACGACGGUGACAUUNNNN